UAACAAGGUCUCCGUUGGUGAACCAGCGGAGGGAUCAUUACUGAGUACUACACUCUCUACCCUUUGUGAACUAUUAUACCUGUUGCUUCGGCGGCGCCCGCAAGGGUGCCCGCCGGUCUCAUCAGAAUCUCUGUUUUCGAACCCGACGAUACUUCUGAGUGUUCUUAGCGAACUGUCAAAACUUUUAACAACGGAUCUCUUGGCUCCAGCAUCGAUGAAGAACGCAGCGAAACGCGAUAUGUAAUGUGAAUUGCAGAAUUCAGUGAAUCAUCGAAUCUUUGAACGCACAUGGCGCCUUCCAGUAUCCUGGGAGGCAUGCCUGUCCGAGCGUCGUUUCAACCCUCGAGCCCCUGUGGCCCGGCGUUGGGGAUCUGCCACGGCAGGCCCCUAAAACCAGUGGCGGACCCGAAGGGCCCUCUCCUUUGCGCAGUAGCAUUCGCCUCGCAUCGGGAGUCCUCGGCGUCCUGCCUCUAAACCCCCCACAAGCCCGCUUCGGCGGCACCAAGGUUGACCUCGGAUCAGGUAGGAAUACCCGCUGAACUUAAGC
RNAcentral lists this unclassified non-coding RNA (547 nucleotides) under Plectosphaerella plurivora. RNAcentral describes it as "sequence contains 18S rRNA gene, ITS1, 5.8S rRNA gene, ITS2". The stretch from base 180 to 333 matches the Rfam family "5.8S ribosomal RNA". The record is from RNAcentral. Lineage: Eukaryota; Fungi; Ascomycota; Sordariomycetes; Glomerellales; Plectosphaerellaceae.